GUGUCAGCAGCCGCGGUAAUACGAGGGGGGCAAAUGUUGUUCGGAAUCACUGGGCGUAAAGGGAGCGUAGGCGGGUUUCUAAGUCAGGUGUUUAAUCCCGGGGCCCAACCCCGGACAGGCACUUGAAACUGGGAAUCUUGAAUAGUGGAGAGGUCAGUGGAAUUGGGGGUGUAGCGGUGGAAUGCGUAGAGAUCCCCAAGAACACCAGUUGCGAAGGCGGCUGACUGGACACAUAUUGACGCUGAGGCUCGAAAGCAUGGGGAGCAAACAGGAUUAGAUACCCGAGUAGUCC
RNAcentral lists this ribosomal RNA (292 nucleotides) under uncultured bacterium. Its description in RNAcentral is "partial 16S ribosomal RNA". It matches the Rfam family "Bacterial small subunit ribosomal RNA", at positions 505 to 796 of the family's 1533-position model. The record is from RNAcentral.